GUGGGGAAUCUUCCGCAAUGGACGAAAGUCUGACGGAGCAACGCCGCGUGAGUGAAGAAGGUUUUCGGAUCGUAAAGCUCUUUCGUUAGGGACGAACGUGCUCUUUGUGAAUAAUGAGGAGUAAUGACGGUACCUAAAUAAGAAGCCACGGCUAACUACGUGCCAGCAGCCGCGGUAAUACGUAGGUGGCAAGCGUUGUCCGGAAUUAUUGGGCGUAAAGCGCGCGCAGGCGGGAUAUCAAGUCUGUCUUAAAAGUGCGAGGCUCAACCUCGUGAGGGGACAGAAACUGGUAUUCUUGAGUGUCGGAGAGGAAAGUGGAAGUCCAAGUGUAGCGGUGAAAUGCGUAGAGAUUUGGAAGAACACCAGUGGCGAAGGCGACUUUCUGGACGAUGUCUGACGCUGAGGCGCGAAAGCUAGGGGAGCGAACGGGAUUAGAAACCCCGGUAGUCC
Molecule: ribosomal RNA, 450 nt
Filed under: uncultured bacterium
Lineage: Bacteria
Description: partial 16S ribosomal RNA
Rfam family: Bacterial small subunit ribosomal RNA
Source: RNAcentral